CCGGCCCCGCUCUCCGGCCGCGCGCACCGCAGCGGGGGCGCUGGGGGCGCGUCCCGCCGCCGGCACCUGGCGGGCCCUGGAGGAGAGGUGCGCCCAGACGCCGCUGCCGCCGGCUGUCCCGAGGCGCUAGCGAAAGCAUCCUUCACUGAAUUAACGCAGUUCUCUUAGUGAGACUUCCUCUGCCUGCCCACUGGUUCCAUACACAGCGCACAGAUCACUGGCCUCACAAAAAGGGGAGUAAGGGCAAAUCUCACUAGCCCUUCUUGCCCAGCCUUGGUGGAGCCGGUUCCCGUGGGGGAAGAGAGGACAGAGAGGGCAGGCUAGAGCAGCAGGGACCUGCUGUCCCCUUUCCACGUCUCCUUGUCACUGCGAAAAGUUUGUGGGGAUGACCCUCAAACAAAUUGGCCUUAGGAGUGAAAUUACUAUCGCUGUAGUGCAGAUUUGUUUAAUUACUAAAAUGACUAACACUACUUCAGCUAAGAAUUUCCCAUGUAAUAUGAAUUCCAGGUAACGGGAAAUCAAAAGGUUAAAAGGUAGGUUCCUUACAUCAUGUCAUAUUCUGAAUGACUAAAAGUGACUUGAGCGUGUGAAACAGCUUUGAGGUAAUCAAAUUCCAAAAAUGGUUAAUUCCUCUGCAUUCCCUGGGCUUUGUGUGCUUGGCAUGUGCUCCCGUGGGAAGUGGAGUGUCAGUGAACGAGAAAGACCUAGUCAGGCAAUUGCGUGUGGGGUGAGGGAAAAUUGGAGUGAGCAGUGACUGAGUUGGACUCUGAACUGUGUAAAAUGCAUCAGACAAUUGUGCUAGCUAAUGUAUGAGGAGGAAUCACUGCACUACAGAUUAUCCAAGGAAAUGCUCUGGGAAAUUCUUGACCCAAAGAAUGAGAGAUAGCUGCAGAAUUGUGUAUAUUAGGGCAAAGCCAAAACUAUUGUCUGCCCUUUUAACUUAGAAGAUAGAGUAUACCAUCUGAAGUAGGUCCCUUUACUGUACAGUGAUUCAUAGAAGAAAACCCUCAACCAUCUCAAGAUAAAGAACUGAGAGAGAAGAGAAAUUACGGUGAUGAUGAGAGCCAUGUCAUGGCUAAAGAGAUCAGCAAGAGAGAGAGCAUGCAAGAUACAUGGACUGCUCUAACCUGGACAGGUCUAACAUUUUAUGCUAGUUGAGAUAAUUUUUCUCCCUUCUUGCAGUCAGUAUUCUCAGCAUAAAACUGAAGAGCAUAGUGAAUGCAGUAUCAUAUCACAGAGUAUUUUGCUUCUGUAAGUAUAAUGGUACCAAAAAGAACAGCUUAUCUGUAAACUGUUUGCUGGAUAAGGAAUUGGUGGAUGGUCACAUCCAGUGGGUGGUGGUUGGGGGCUCAGAGUCCUGAUAGACAUGAGUCCUUCAGGGGUCGGUACUGGGACCAGUUCUAUUUAAUAUCUUUCUCAGGUACAUAGAUGGAGAGAUCAUCCAGUUUGCAGAUGACACCAAGCUGAGUGGUGGAGUUGACACACCUGAAGGAAUGAACACCAUCCAGAUGGACCAGGACAAGCUCAGGAACCAGUCGAUGGAAAUCUCAUGAGAUUAAACAAGGCCAAGUACAGGAUAACUUUAAAACUGUUUUCAAGCACAGUCAAACACAAAUUCAGCAGAGGAGCAGCAUUUUUAAGGAAGUUCUACCAGGUCAUAUGAAAGUCGGCAUCUGAGUAAAGAAAGACAGCCCACAUUGGGAUGCCACUCUGAAGGAUCUUGACAAACUUGGGAGGUUGGCCUGUGCAACCCUCAUGCAGUUCAGCAAAGGCAAGUGCAAGGUCCUGCACCAGUUUUAGGGCAAUUCCAAGUAUGAAUGCAGGCUGGGCAGAGGACAGAUUGAAAGUAGCCCUGAGGAGAAGGACUUGGGGGUGUUGGUGAUUGAGAAGCUCAGCAAUGUGCACUUGCAAUCCAGAGAGCCAAUCAUGUCCUGGACUGCGUCAAGAGAAACAUGGUCUGCAGGUUGAGGGAGGAGUUUCUUCUUCUCUGAUCUGCCUUUGUGAGACCCCAUCAAAGUACUGCAUCCAACUCUGGGACUUCCAGCAUAGUAGUUUGUGGACCUGCUGGGGCAAGCCCAGAGGUGGGCCACGAAGAUGAUGUGAGGGCUGGAGCACCUCUCCUAUGUAAACAGAGUUGGAAUGUUCAACCUGGAGAAGAGAAGGCUCCAAGGAGACUUUAUAACAUCUUCCAGUUCUGAAAGAGAGCUUAAAGAGGCUCAAGUACAGCAGACCAUUUCCAGUUGCCCAACCUGUUUUUGUAAACCUUUUGUUCAAUUUAGUUCCACAGCUUACCCAUGCAGCUUGCUUACACCUCUCUUCUCGUACAGUUGCUUUCACAGGACAGUUUUCUGUAUUGGAAAUGACUGUGAUUUCUUGUCCUUCAGGAGGCAUAGAGAUUGGUUGCUGUCUCCUUACCAGGAAUCCUGUAUGCAUGAAAGCCUCCUAUCAUAUCUUUCCUCAGUUUUCUAGACUAAACAAAGAAAAUUUCUUCAAUCUCUCUUCAUAGUUCAUAUUUUCUGAACCUCUUAAUCUCCACUUUGGACUUUUUCCAGCUUUUAUUUAGCUUUUUUUGAAAAGCAUGGUUAUAAAAACUCUUAUGCAAUGCAAUUGUCUAUCUAAAGCCAUAUUAACACUUAAGUAAAAAAAAUUAGUCUCUUGUGUAUGUAAUAUUUCUGGUAGCAUGUACUGGCAUGACAGUGGUCUCCUCUUUCCUUGAAUUUUAAUUUUGCAAAGUGUCAUAUCAUUAAUUUUUGUGUCACCUGUGAUUUAAUACAGGCCUCCAGUCCUGUCAAUA
Long non-coding RNA from Taeniopygia guttata (zebra finch), 2794 nucleotides. RefSeq lists it as uncharacterized. The record is from RefSeq and is a predicted model, not a curated record. Lineage: Eukaryota; Metazoa; Chordata; Aves; Passeriformes; Estrildidae.